RNAcentral lists this ribosomal RNA (1344 nucleotides) under Notidobia ciliaris. Its description in RNAcentral is "large subunit ribosomal RNA". Lineage: Eukaryota; Metazoa; Arthropoda; Insecta; Trichoptera; Sericostomatidae. The record is from RNAcentral.
UUUAAUUGAAAUUUAAUAAAUAAAUAAUAUAAUUAAAAUAAUAAUAAUUAAAAAAGAAGUUUUAGUAGUAAUAAUUUAAAAAAUAUUAAUUUUUAUAGAGAAAUAGUAUUGUAAUAGAAAAUUGAAAUAUUUAUGAAAUAUAAAAUAUUUAAAAAGUAAAUUUAAUUUAUUGUAUCUUUUGUAUCAGAGAUUAUUAAAAAUUUAAUUAAUAAAUUUAAUUAUUCUCAAAAUUUAAAGAUUUAAUUAAUUAAGUUAUUUAAUGUAGAAUUAUUAUUAAUAAUAAUUAAUUGGAAAUGAAAUGUUAAGCGUUUUAAAUAAUAUUUAGUUUUUUUAGAAAUAAAUUUAAUUUAUUUAUUUGAUUAUGGAGUUAUUUAUUUAAAGGUAAAUUUUAUUAAUUAAAUAAAAAUUUUUAAUGGGAUAAUCUUUUAAAAAUUAUUUAUAUAUAGUGUAAAGUAAUUUAUUUAAAAUUUAUAUAAAUAAAAUUUUUUUUUAUUUUUUAUUUUUAGUAAAAAAUUUUAUUUGAAGUUAUAUUUUAAUUUUAUAUUAAUUUAAAUUUAUAAAAAUUUUUAUUUAAAUAACUAAAAUAAUGUAAUUAUGGUAAUAUUAGUAUAUAAAAAUUUAAUUUAAGGUAUUAUAUAAAUUAAUAUUUUUAAGAUAAUUAAAAAAAAUUCGGCAAUAAUAUAUUCGCUUGUUUAUCAAAAACAUGUCUUUUUGUUUAAUAAUUUAAAGUCUAAUCUGCUCACUGAAAUAUAUGUAUUUAAAGAGCCGCAAUUAAUUGUGCAAAGGUAGCAUAAUCAAUAGUUUUUUAAUUGAAAACUGGUAUGAAUGAUUGGACGAAAUAUAUUCUGUUUCUUGAUUAUUAUAUAAAAUUUAUUUUUUUAAUGAAAAAAUUAAAAUAAUUUUAAAAGACGAGAAGACCCUAUAAAUCUUUAUAUUUUUUUAUAUAUGAUUAUUUAUAAAAAAGUAUUUUAUUGGGGUGAUAAAAAAAUUAAAUAAACUUUUAUAAUUUUAAUCAUUGAUUAAUGAAUUAUAUAUUUAUGAUCUAUUUUGAGUUAAUAAAUUAAGAUAAAGAUACUUUAGGGAUAACAGCGUAAUUUUAAUUUUUAGUUCUUAUAAAAAUUAAAGAUUGCGACCUCGAUGUUGGAUUAAAAUUUAUAUUAAAUGUAGAUGUUUAAAUAUUAGGUCUGUUCGACCUUUGAAAUUUUACAUGAUCUGAGUUCAAACCGGUGUAAGCCAGGUUGGUUUCUAUCUUUAAAUGUAAAUGAAAUUAAUUAGUACGAAAGGAUUAUUAAUUUAAAAGAUUUUUAGAAAAAGAUUAUUUAUAAUGAAUUAGUUUAUAAUAUA